GAUGUGACUCAGUGGUUGAGUGCCCCUGAAUUUAAUCCCUGGUAUGCUGUCCCCUGCCCAAAAAAAUAAUUUUUGGAUGUUAGAUUUAACCAUGCCAUUUGCUAUUUUAUAUUUUCCCCCCAUGGUUUUGCUUUUGGAUUGAUCCAAGUGCUUUUUAUUCUUAAACAUUAAAUGCUAGUUUUUUGUUAAACCAUUUUGUAUUGUUACUAAUCCAUCUGUCCCACUGUCUCAGAUGUGGAACACCUAUAUAAACUUAAAUACAAAAUUUAAUUAUGUGACAUAAUUAUAUAAUAUAGACGAAUGUAAUUAUAAUAUUAACUGAUAUCAUAAUAUAUAUAAGCUCUAAAUUAUGGUUUCUGACCUAUUUGAAUGCACCUGUGUUAAUUUUGUUGAAAUAUUUGCAGAAUUGAAAACGUGGAACAGGUUAAUUGUUCCUCUAAAGCAGGGUCUGAGACAGAAUUAAGCCCUACUGCCCUAAGGAAUUCAUUGCAUGUAAUGAAUAUGCAUCAGAAUGGCCAUUCUAGAAUUCAGAAAACAGUCAUUCACAUAAUUUUCCUAUGGGAUUAACUGACAAAACUCUGGUUGAGAAAAGCUACUUUAUUAAGAUAUCCUUAUUAAAUCUACAUUAAAUUAGUAUUUUAUCACCUCAGCAAACGAGAUAAAGUAAUUCCAUUUUCUUCCUCAUCCUUGAAUCUAUUGUCAUUUUACUUUUCAUCAUGUUAUAAAUUCAUACAUUAUUUAAACAAUCAGUAGUUUUAAAAUUUUUCAAAAAUUGUUAUUUUAUAUCGACCCACCUAUUUGCUUUUCCAUGUUCUUCAAUUUCAUUCCAUAAAUCUGUGCCUCAACUGGGAUUAUUUCCCUUUGUGUGAAACACUUCCUGCAGUAUUCCUUGUAGCUGUAAUCUACUGGCAGUUGAUCUCAUCAGCUUUUUUUUUUUUGAUCUGAAAAUACAGUUAGUGUUUAUUAUUUUUGCAGUGCUCGAGAUGGAACCCAUGGACUUGAUCAUGCUACACAAGUGUUCUACUGUGCUACGCCCCCAGUUCUAAAUCGUUACUUUUGAAGGAUUUGAAGAGUACAUAAUUCUAGUUUUGAGUUUUUUGCCUGCUUUAAAGAUACAAUUUCAUUUUCUCCUGCUUUAAUGUCUGCUGACAAGUCAGCUAUGAUUCUUUCAAAUGUCUUUUUCUUUCUCUUUAUUCCUUUAAGAUUCUUUAAUUUUUUAAUAGAUUGACUAUGAUUUUUGUAGAUAUGGUUUUCUUUGCAUUUAUCCUGCUUGGGUGUGCUGAACUUCUUGAAUCUGUGGGUUCAAUUUUAGAAAGCACUCAUUGUUUUAUGUGCUUAGGCUUGCAGUAUUUCUGUUGAUAUGUUUUUGAAUUCAAUGAUUGCCCCUCGCCCCAUGUCAAGCCCACUUACAGAAUUUAUUUCAGUGAUAAGAAUUUUCACUUCUAAGAUAUUUGUUUCUACUUUAGAUAUUCUAUACUUCUAUACUGUAGUUCUAUGUUAUUUCAUCCAUCUAAAUUUUUUCUUGUUUUACUAGUGAUAAUUCUAAAGUCCUUGUCUGCUAAUUCCUAUUGUCUAUGGGCCAAUUUAUAUUGGUUCUUUUUUUCUUCUGAUUACUUUAAUAUUUACUUUUUAAUUUUAGUUGGACACAAUAUCUUUAUUUUACAUUUAUGUGGUGCUGAGGAUCAAACCCAGUGCCUUAUGCAUGAUAGGCAAGCACUCUACCACUGAGCUACAACCUCAACCCCUCUUAUAAUUAUUGAUAAGAUUAUCCUGCUGCUUCAUAUGGCACUUAAUUUUUAAAAUUGUGUGUGGAUAUGACAUAUAAAAGAACCUCAAAAUUUGAAAAAAGAAAAGAGGCUUUCUCCUGGAAGGGAAUCACCUUUCUCUGUCAACUCAUCAGUUUCAACCAUUCAGAGGUUGAGAUGGGGCAGUCAGUUUCAGUUCACUUCUGGUUUCAACCAUCUUGGGAAUAAGAGCUUUCCUGUGACUGUUUCAGGCCAUGUGGUCUGUCAGGAAUCUAAAUACAGAAACAGGAAAAACUCAUUUCUUUCUAGGCUGGUGCCCAGCCUCUCAUGCUCUUGUACACUCAGCAAAAGCUUCAGGGGGGAUAAAAAGUACUGUAAGGAAAUACCAGUUCUGAGGACCAUCCCUACUACAGUGCACGGUAACCCAGUGAGGCCACACAUACUUCACUGGUCUUUCAUUCUCCAGUGAAGUUCCCCUGCCUGUGGAGCCUGAUCUUCCACCAGCCUGUUCCCAACCAGGGUAAAACAAAGAGGGCCUCAUCCUUCUCUGCCCAGUAAUUCCUGUACCCUCUUUGUGUCCGAAGAUCUCCAGUCUUUAAAGAUGUUAAACCACAAUUGUUUGUUUUUCCAGUUGCUACAGUGGAUUCAAAAGGGUCCAGUAAACCUUCCCCAUCCAAUCUUGAAGUGGAGCUGUACAACUCUGGAACUUUCAAAAUCUCAAAUCAAUCAGUUUAGAACCAAAUCAUUUCCAAAUUGAAUCUUCCAAUAAAUGUAUUAUUUUUAAUAUUUUUUAAUUAUUGUUGGACACAAUACCUCUAUUUUAUUUAUUCAUUUUUAUGUGAUGCUGAGGGUUGAACCCAGGGCCUUGCAUGUCCUAGGCGAGUACUCUACCACUGAGCCACAACCCUAGUCCCGAAUGUAUUGAUUUUUAAAGGUCGUCUUUAAUAUUAGAUUGGCUUCAAAAUAGUUUUGGUAAAUUGUAUUUAUUUUUUCCUUAUGUUGCCCAGGCUGGCGUCAAACUCCAGGGCUUAAGUGAUCAUUCUGCCUCAUUCUCACUCGUAGCUGGGUCUAUGACCAGCUUGUUUUGGAAAAAAGAAAGCAUAAGAGAAAGGGCCAAUGGUGAUAAGAAAAUGCUAAAUGAGAUGUUCCUAUUUCCAUGAGAUUCCUUAGAAGCCACAUUCAGUGACAUCUGUCUUCUCGUUUUAAGGACUGUGGAUACAUUUGGCCAAUCAUAUCGUUGCAAGGAGACAGAGUAUCACUAAACUGCCCAGGCUGAUCUUGAGGCUCAAGUGAUCUUCCUGCCUUACCCUUUGAGUGCUGGGACUACAGAUCAAAUGUUUUAAAGAUGGAUGGAAAGUGAUGGAAGUUACCCAAGCAACCUCAGAAACCAAAUGGACUCAAUAUUCUCAGGAAAAAAGUAUAUCUUCAAAAGCUUUCUAAUUAACAUUUCCAAAUGUACUGUACAUCUUAUAGAUAAUGGCUGUUUCUCAUAAAGAAUCACAUCUUCCUUUUAUCUCACCUUGGAGAACUUUCUCCAUUGUCCUCAGCUCUUCUUGUACCACAUGAAAAGUCAGACUAGGUCUACGUGGCUGGUUCCCUGCUCUUAGGGAAAGAGACAUGAUGUAAGAAGAAUGUGCAAGGGAUGACAAAUAUUUCCAUAAACCAAAGGCCAAGAUUCUAUUUUUCUGGCAUUCUGACCAUUGUCAGGCAUAACUUGAGAAAUAACAUAAUCUUUAUGCUCCAAGUAGUCAGCCAGUGAGCUUUCAAGUGAACUACAAAUACAAACAGUCUCUCUUUCAUUGUGUAACAAAAGAAAAGUGAUCUUUCCUCUGAAACACAGGCUUAAGCUUGUACAGUUAUGAAGCCUUUUAUCUAUGGAGAAAACAAAGACAGUACAACAAAUAGAAUUCCAUUUCUUAUGAGAAAGUCACUAGACAGUAAGUCUAUGAAAGGAGCACCUUUGGUUUGUUUAUGAUUGCAUUGCUAUUAAUAUGCAGACCCUAGAAUAUGAUACUUAAUAUUUAUUCAGGAGGGCUGGGGAUGUGGCUCAAGCGGUAGCGCGCUCGCCUGGCAUGCGUGCGGCCCGGGUUCGAUCCUCAGCACCACAUACCAACAAAGAUGUUGUGUCCGCCGAGAACUAAAAAAUAAAUAUUAAAAAUUCUCUCUCUCUCUCUCUCCUCUCUCACUCUCUCUUUAAAAAAAAAAAAUAUUUAUUCAGGAAAAACUAAAUUGAAGAAAUGGUACCAACCUUACCAAAUGGAAUUAGAUUCUUGUAGUUCU
This is a non-coding RNA of Ictidomys tridecemlineatus (thirteen-lined ground squirrel), 4025 nucleotides long. NCBI's taxonomy places the organism in Eukaryota, Metazoa, Chordata, Mammalia, Rodentia, Sciuridae. The record is from RefSeq and is a predicted model, not a curated record.